UAUAUCUUUAUUUUAAAAAUCUUUAUGAUCAACCCAUGCAUAAUAGAGGACUUAAGACCCUAUAAAUUGUGCAUUAAUGUUAAUUAGUAUUCAACUUUCAUCCAAGUUAUCCAACCAAAAAUCUGAAGAGGGUAUAAGUGAAAAUAUGGGUGGACCUUGUGUGAGAAGAAGUGUGUUGCUGAUAAUGAUUUUGAAUAUUGUAGUACUUGUAGUGCAGGCUGAUGAUCCUCCCGCUCCCUAUCUCCCUCCGCCCUCUUCCGUUUUAACUGUGCCUCAAUUUCCCCCUCCCUUCUCUCAACAAGAUGACUGGUAUGACUGUUGGCGUAAGUGGCUCAUGCGUUGCAAAAAAAUCACAAGUCAUUACAAGUUGACUACUAGAGAUCGUGAGUACAAACGUUGUGCGCGUCUCAUAAGAAAACUCUGCAAAGUUCCCUAAGAUCAUAUAUCGUUCUGCUGUUAAUUUGAAACAGGGAAAGCAAAAGAUUACGUGGAAACGGGCUUCAACAAUUUCAAUAAGAAUUAAUACUAGCUUAAUGUUAUUUAGAAGACUAUACGUCUUCCUAGUUAUGUUUUUUUUUUUUUUUUUUUUUUUUGGUACCAUCUUCUUAGUUGUAUGUUAAUCGUAUUACAGCUAGUAUAUUAAAUAAAAUUUCUCUA
Molecule: long non-coding RNA, 657 nt
Organism: Alnus glutinosa
Lineage: Eukaryota; Viridiplantae; Streptophyta; Magnoliopsida; Fagales; Betulaceae
Exons: 2
Source: RefSeq, a predicted model, not a curated record